This 291-nucleotide ribosomal RNA is filed under the name Staphylococcus aureus. Its description in RNAcentral is "partial 23S ribosomal RNA". It matches the Rfam family "Bacterial large subunit ribosomal RNA", at positions 2218 to 2508 of the family's 2925-position model. The record is from RNAcentral. Lineage: Bacteria; Bacillati; Bacillota; Bacilli; Caryophanales; Staphylococcaceae.
UGUUCUAACGUUGGCCCGUAAUCCGGGUUGCGGACAGUGUCUGGUGGGUAGUUUGACUGGGGCGGUCUCCUCCUAAAGAGUAACGGAGGAGCACGAAGGUUGGCUAAUCCUGGUCGGACAUCAGGAGGUUAGUGCAAUGGCAUAAGCCAGCUUGACUGCGAGCGUGACGGCGCGAGCAGGUGCGAAAGCAGGUCAUAGUGAUCCGGUGGUUCUGAAUGGAAGGGCCAUCGCUCAACGGAGAAAAGGUACUCCGGGGAUAACAGGCUGAUACCGCCCAAGAGUUCAUAUCGA